GAUGAAUGCUGGCGGCGUGCCUAAUACAUGCAAGUCGAGCGAACGGACGAGAAGCUUGCUUCUCUGAUGUUAGCGGCGGACGUGUGAGUAACACGUGUAUAAUCUACCUAUAAGUCUGGUAUAACUUCGGGAAACCGUAUCUAAUACCGGAUAAUAUUUUGAACCGCAUGGGUCAAAAGUGAAAUACGGUCUUGCUGUCACUUCUAGAUGGAUCCGCGCUUCAUUAGCUAGUUGGUAAGGUAACGGCUUACCAAGGCAACGAUGCAUAGCCGAACGGAGAGGGGGGUCGGCCACACUGGAGCUGAGACACGGACCAGACUCCUACGGGAGGCCGCAGUAGGGAAUGUUCCGCAAUGGGCGGAAACCUGACGGAGCAACGCCACGUGAGUGAUGAAGGUCUUCGGAUCGUAAAACUCUGUUAUUAGGGAAGAACAUAUGUGUAAGUAACUGUGCACAUCUUGACGGUACCUAAUCAGAAAGCCACGGCUAACUACGUG
Molecule: ribosomal RNA, 497 nt
Filed under: uncultured bacterium
Lineage: Bacteria
Description: partial 16S ribosomal RNA
Rfam family: Bacterial small subunit ribosomal RNA
Source: RNAcentral